CAUUUCGAAAGCAGGUGUUCAUUUCCCGCUCCGUCGUCUUCAACGAAGCUUUCGCUCAGAGAAUCGCGGGAGGAGCGAGCUUUUGCUUUCGCAUCGCAAAGCUCCAAAUUAUGGAGGAGACGAUAACGACGCUCAGCAAAAGCCUGGGCUACUUCUGCAACCACCUCCAGAGUAGCGUCGACGCCCUCAAGCAAUCCAUGGAUCGCCGUCCCAUCCCUCUCGAUUCAUCUUCUUCGACCUUCAUUCAGUGCCUGAACCGACGCGUGUCCACCGCUAGCAGCGAUCUCAAUUUGCUCGACUCCAUGUCGUUUGGAACCGUGUCGUUCGAGGAGUUGUUAGGUCACUGCAACGAGGUUUUCAAGAAGAACCAAAGCGACCUUGCUCAGCUCGAAGAACGCCUUAAGAGCUUCGGCUAUGUCCCCAAUGUUGACAAUGAUGAAGAAGAUGCAAUAGAUGAUUUAUCCAGCCCCAUCGAACUUGAUCCUAAUUUUCCACUAGCAAAUGGUGGAUUUGACCAGCCAUCUUCAUGUUCGGGGCGACUUACUGCAGCAGCUUCUAUGACAAAGAGUUUUGAAGAAGACUCACUAUUUGAUGACUCCAUCAGCUUGAAAAGACUUGGUAUAUCUGACCUAGCUCUGGCCACAAUAGCUUCGGAAGCUAAUGGUGAGACUGUUGAGCCAAAUCUAUGCUUGAGACAACCACAAAAGUAUGAUGGUUCAUGCUUGAGAAAUCAAGAGGAUAAGAUGCAAGACCUGGAGAGGCCAUAUCAACCUGCUACAGUGAACUUGGGGACAAGUGAAGUUGAAGGCCCAAAAUCUGUAGUUAAGGCAUCAAAAGAUGAGUAUGAAAGUCUUCCUUCCUACAUGAAAAGUCUUGCAUCAUGGGAGUGCAUUUUACCCUGCAGGAUUUGCUUAUAGCUAUUGGGAAGAUAAACUCAUACCUGAGCAAGAAAGAGAACCUACUGGAACACAAGUGCUUCUUUCAAGACGAAAUAUCAUCAUUGGCAUUGGGGCCCAAGGCAAGAUCCUAUCUGCUGCUGCUUACUCGCAUGAACCACCUGGUUGUUGAGACAGUUGAUGGAUUGAUCUCGUACAGAGUUUUAUAGAAGGAAGUACCUUAGCAGAAAUGUACUUGUUGGAAUUACAGUGCUCAGUUUGUAUGUUCUGCGUAAGGCUUGACAUAGACAUUUUUCUGAGCACCAGACUUGUAGAGAAAUCUUCUUAUGAUAAAUGAUUACUUAAUUACA
This is an RNA transcript of Rhodamnia argentea, 1246 nucleotides long. RefSeq lists it as uncharacterized. NCBI's taxonomy places the organism in Eukaryota, Viridiplantae, Streptophyta, Magnoliopsida, Myrtales, Myrtaceae. The record is from RefSeq and is a predicted model, not a curated record. The transcript has 9 exons.